AGGGCGUACGGUGGAUGCCUUGGCACCAGGAGUAGAUGAAGGACGUGGACGGCUGCGAUAAGCCGCGGUGAGGUGCUGAACAACCUUUGACCCGCGGAUUUCCGAAUGGGGAAACCCGGCGCUGGUAAUGCGGCGUCAUCUGUCGGUGAAUACAUAGCCGGCAGAAUGCAAGCGAGCGAACUGAAACAUCUAAGUAGCUCGAGGAAAGAAAAUCAAACGAGACUCCCUGAGUAGUGGCGAGCGAAAAGGGAUCAGCCCAAACCGACCCGUUGUAAGAGCACAUUCGUUGCCGGGUCGGGGUUGUAGGAAGUCUGUCCAGAGCAUGUGCGCUCUGGCAGCAGUUACCAAGUCAGGUGUUAGUCGAAGCGAGUGGAACCUCGCACCACAGAGGGCAAACGUCCCGUAGACGAAAACGCACUGACCUGCUGAUGACUUUCCUGAGUAGGACCACACCCGUGAAACGUGGUCUGAAUCUGGGGGGACCACCCUCCAAGGCUAAGUACUCCCUGGUGACCGAUAGUGAACUAGUACCGUGAGGGAAAGGUGAAAAGUACCCCGGAAGGGGAGUGAAAUAGUACCUGAAACCAUACGCCUACAAGCGGUCGGAGCAUCUUCGGAUGUGACGGCGUGCUUUUUGCAUAACGAGCCUGCGAGUUACUCUUCAGUGGCAAGGUUAAGCGAUGAGCGGAGCCGCAGCGAAAGCGAGUCUGAAUAGGGCGACAUAGUCAUUGGAGGUAGACCCGAAACUGAGCGAGCUAUCCAUGGGCAGGUUGAAGCGUGGGUAAGACCACGUGGAGGACCGAACCGACCUAGGGUGAAAACUGGGCGGAUGACCUGUGGAUCGGAGUGAAAGGCUAAUCAAGCUCAGAGAUAUCUGGUUCUCUCCGAAAUAUAUUUAGGUAUAGCGUCGAGUGUUAUAUGUUGUGGCCGUAGAGCACUGCUUGGACUAGGGGCCCCACCAGGUUACCGACUUCAGGCAAACUCCGAAGACCAUUACAUUUAGCUCGGCAGUCAGCGCAUGGGGGAUAAACUUCAUGUGCGAGAGGGGAACAACCCAGACCGUCGGUUAAGGUCCCUAAGUACUAGCUAAGUGGUAAACGAUGUCCGAAUGCAUAGACAACCAAGAGGUUGGCUUAGAAGCAGCCACCCUUGAAAGAGUGCGUAACAGCUCACUGGUCAAGUGUUCGGGCGCGGAUAAUGUAACGGGGCUAAAGCUAGUCACCGAAACUACGGGUUCAUGACCCUGCGGGGUUCAUGAGCGGUAGGAGAGCGUUCUCAGUGUGUAAGCGUUGGCGUAAGCCUUCGUGCGGUGCUGAGAAGUGAGAAUGCAGGCAUGAGUAACGAAAGAGGGGUGAGAAUCCCCUCCACUGAUUGUCCGAGGUUUCCUGAGUAAAGUUCGUCUGCUCAGGGUUAGUCGGGACCUAAGGCGAGGCCGAAAGGCGUAGUCGAUGGCGAACAGGUUGAUAUUCCUGUACCACGUUGGAUCCGUUAUGACCGAUGGGGGGACGGGGAAGGGUAAGAGAACCCAGGCGAUGGUUGUCCUGGGGCAAGUACGUAGCCAGUCGCUGUAGGAAAAUCCGCAGCGGCGUUUUUACGCGAGGUGCGAUGCCAGCUGGAUUAAGUUCCGGCCAGUCUCUGAGCCCAUGCCUCCAAGAAAAGCCUCUAGGCAGGAUCCAUGUGCCCGUACCGAUAACCGACACAGGUGGACAAGUAGAAGAUACUAAGGUGAGCGAGAUAACCAUCGUUAAGGAACUCGGCAAAAUCGCCCCGUAACUUCGGGAUAAGGGGCGCCUCGAUAGGGUGAAGUCCAUACGGAUGGAGCUCGAGGAGGCCGCAGUGAAUUGGUCCAACCGACUGUUUACCAAAAACACAGGGCUCUGCUAAGUCGCAAGACGACGUAUAGGGCCUGACGCCUGCCCGGUGCUGGAAGGUUACGCGGACUUGUUAGCUCUUCGGAGCGAAGCAAUGAAGCUAAGCCCCAGUAAACGGCGGCCGUAACUAUAACGGUCCUAAGGUAGCGAAAUUCCUUGUCGGGUAAGUUCCGACCUGCACGAAUGGCGUAACGAGUUGGACGCUGUCUCAACGAUGGACUCGGUGAAAUUGGAGUCUCGGUGAAGAUACCGAGUACCCGCAUCAAGACGGAAAGACCCCGUGAACCUUUACUACAACUUGAUAUUGGAGUUUGGUGUGUUCUGUUCAGGAUAGGUGGGAGACAGUGAACCAGCGGCUGCGGCUGCUGGGGAGUCAACCUUGAGAUACCACCCUUGACAUACCGGGCUUCUAACACUAUUCCGUGAUCCGGGUAGUGAACAGUGUCAGGCGGGUAGUUUGACUGGGGCGGUCGCCUCCUAAAAUGUAACGGAGGCGCCCAAAGGUUCCCUCAGUACGGUUGGAAAUCGUGCGUAGAGUGUAAAGGCAACAAGGGAGCUUGACUGCGAGACCGACGGGUCGAGCAGGAACGAAAGUUGGGCUUAGUGAUCCGGCGGUUGCAAGUGGAAGCGCCGUCGCUCAACGGAUAAAAGGUACUCCGGGGAUAACAGGCUUAUCGCUUCCAAGAGUCCAUAUCGACGAAGCGGUUUGGCACCUCGAUGUCGGCUCGUCGCAUCCUGGGGCGGGAGUACGUCCCAAGGGUUGGGCUGUUCGCCCAUUAAAGCGGCACGCGAGCUGGGUUCAGAACGUCGUGAGACAGUUCGGUCCCUAU
RNAcentral lists this ribosomal RNA (2701 nucleotides) under activated sludge metagenome. RNAcentral describes it as "bacterial LSU rRNA". It matches the Rfam family "Bacterial large subunit ribosomal RNA", at positions 14 to 2641 of the family's 2925-position model. The record is from RNAcentral.